UUCAUAAUGGCAGAGUAUGCAAAGAAUUUAAGCUUCUUUUAAGAGAUUAUCUUAUGAAA
RNAcentral lists this transfer RNA (59 nucleotides) under Anaulaciulus koreanus. RNAcentral's name for it is "tRNA-Leu". Lineage: Eukaryota; Metazoa; Arthropoda; Diplopoda; Julida; Julidae. The record is from RNAcentral.